AUUGAACGCUGGCGGCAUGCUUUACACAUGCAAGUCGAACGGCAGCGCGGGCUUCGGCCUGGCGGCGAGUGGCGAACGGGUGAGUAAUACAUCGGAACGUGCCCAGUAGUGGGGGAUAGCUCGGCGAAAGCCGGAUUAAUACCGCAUACGACCUGAGGGUGAAAGCGGGGGAUCUUCGGACCUCGCGCUAUUGGAGCGGCCGAUGGCAGAUUAGCUAGUUGGUGGGGUAAAGGCCUACCAAGGCGACGAUCUGUAGCUGGUCUGAGAGGACGACCAGCCACACUGGAACUGAGACACGGCCCAGACUCCUACGGGAGGCAGCAGUGGGGAAUUUUGGACAAUGGGCGAAAGCCUGAUCCAGCAAUGCCGCGUGUGUGAUGAAGGCCUUCGGGUUGUAAAGCACUUUUGGCGGGAACGAAAAGGACUGUGCCAAUACCACGGUUCGAUGACGGUACCCGAAGAAUAAGCACCGGCUAACUACGUG
This 484-nucleotide ribosomal RNA is filed under the name uncultured bacterium. Its description in RNAcentral is "partial 16S ribosomal RNA". It matches the Rfam family "Bacterial small subunit ribosomal RNA", at positions 29 to 507 of the family's 1533-position model. The record is from RNAcentral.